RNAcentral lists this ribosomal RNA (235 nucleotides) under Parahaemophilus parainfluenzae. RNAcentral's name for it is "Haemophilus parainfluenzae partial 23S ribosomal RNA". It matches the Rfam family "Bacterial large subunit ribosomal RNA", at positions 2080 to 2314 of the family's 2925-position model. The record is from RNAcentral. Lineage: Bacteria; Pseudomonadati; Pseudomonadota; Gammaproteobacteria; Pasteurellales; Pasteurellaceae.
ACGGAAAGACCCCGUGAACCUUUACUAUAGCUUGACACUGAACAUUGAAUUUUGAUGUGUAGGAUAGGUGGGAGACUUUGAAGCAGUCACGCCAGUGAUUGUGGAGUCGUCCUUGAAAUACCACCCUUUAACGUUUGAUGUUCUAACGAAGAUUGCGGAACGCGGUCUCGGACAGUGUCUGGUGGGUAGUUUGACUGGGGCGGUCUCCUCCCAAAGAGUAACGGAGGAGCACGAA